Molecule: long non-coding RNA, 504 nt
Organism: Anthonomus grandis grandis
Lineage: Eukaryota; Metazoa; Arthropoda; Insecta; Coleoptera; Curculionidae
Exons: 3
Source: RefSeq, a predicted model, not a curated record
UUCAUAGAUUAGUGAAGUCAGACAUAACCUUACGACUUACGAGUCAUGUUUAUUGUUUGUUUUGUUUAUUUGGGAGUUGUUGAAGUUAUUUUGUUUGUUUAUUUAUAGGUAAUUUCAUAAAAAUGUCAAAUACCUUAUGUGGCGUGUGCAAUAAAAAUUUUUCAAAAAGUUUCAACUAACGAAUUCAUGAGAACAGAUUUCAUCCAGAUGAGUAAACUCAACAUUACUAAACAGAGAGAAUAAAUGAAAUUUCCCCGAAAAAAAGCCUUUAAUGUUUCUGAGAUUUGUCCGAUAUGUUCAAAAAUCUUCUCGAGAUAUUCUAGCUACAAAACUCAUGUCCUAAAAUAUCAUAAUGAGGAAAGCGAGUCCCUGGAAAGGCUUCAUUGGUUAACAAGACAAAAUCUAUUUAAUAUUGAACAAAAUUACAAUUUAAAUUGGACUUCGGUUUGACAUAAAAAUGAUGCAGUAAGUGUAGCGUCAUGUAUGAAUUAUUGAAAUGGAAAA